Long non-coding RNA from Lytechinus pictus (painted urchin), 1446 nucleotides. RefSeq lists it as uncharacterized. The transcript is spliced from 5 exons. Lineage: Eukaryota; Metazoa; Echinodermata; Echinoidea; Temnopleuroida; Toxopneustidae. The record is from RefSeq and is a predicted model, not a curated record.
AAGGUGGACUAAAGUUAUACCCGGGGUAUAAAACGCGUCAUUUGACGUCAUUUUAAUCCAUGGACUAAAGUUAGCACCUAGGGGCUAACUUUUGCGAUUCACAAAGGUCGACUAAAGUUAUACCGGGGUAUAAAACGCGUCAUUUGACGUCACGACUUAGUCAGCUCUUUGGGGUGGACUAAAUCGGUGGGUUAAAGUUAGUCCACUGUUUUAACCAAUCAGAGAGCAGCAUUUCGAUUGCGGAAAAGUUUGCUACAAGAAAAAAGUUUUUUGGACAGAGACGAGAUUCGGUGUGAUCGGCAUAUCUAAAGCUUCAUAUUUCACGACUUCGACCGAGAUUCAACAGACCAUACAUACUCGGCAGAUUGUGCUCAAUCAAGACAAAGCAAACAUGGCUCACAGUUUUGAACUGCUGUGCCGUCUUGCAAGAGAGUGAGAUUCAGCAACACAUAGAAAGACCACAGCAUGGAUUAAGAGACAGGAAGAAUCCAUUUGAAUACUACGAGGAUGAACCUCUCAGAGUGGGGUACCAACAGAGAGAACCACACAUUGCCUGUCAUGUUACAGGUUUUGACAGGACUUUGUUUUAUGUCAUUGGUACCUUUUAGAAGAUGCAAGCAGACGAAGCAACUAUAUCACAGUCAUCCGUGUGCAGAAUCAUCAAAGAUUUUUCUGAGGCAAUAGCAAGGAGUAACAGUCAAUGAAGUUUCCGAUGACGAGAAAUUCAAACCACCCAGCGACAAUUUGAUGAUUGCUACAGGUUUCCAAGAGUCAUAGGUGCUAUCGAUUGGGGCCAAUCCACGCCAUGUCUGCAUCAGGAGUCCUGAUGGGGAACAAGCCCUGUACUUAGCAGGAAGAACAGGUCUUCUGUAAAUGUAUAGGUAUCCGUUGCUCCCCUCUUUGAUGAAUUCCUGCCUGCAUUCUGUUGUCAAUAGAAAAGGACGGUGUGCUACGGGUAUAAGCAUUCCAUUGGAUUAUCUGUGCAUGAAAGUGGACACUUGUGAUAAAAAAUGGUAGCUUGGUUGUAGUGGCGUACCUAGGAUUUUCCACAGGGAGGGCAAAACCGUUCGGCCGAAAAAUUUUACAAGUAAAAAAAAAAAAGGUCUUCAAUCACAAAUAAAGGAUUUCGUACCAGAAAAAAAUUGACAAGCAAAAAAAAAAGGUGUUCAAGCUCGUCAGGGGGGCAGGUAUACGUCCUUUGCAUGGGUUGUGGCUCGUCAGGGGGGGGGGCAGAGUGCCCCCCACCCCCGUAGGUACGCUAGUGCUUGGUUGAUAGGAUGUAUUCAUGCAUUCCGAUUUAUCAUUAGUGAUCAAAUGACCAUCUUGCUUUUUAAAAACCCAAGUUCACAACAUUUUUCUUGUUUGAUAAAAGGUUUGGGACGUGAAUUCCAGGAUAUAAAUGACACAUAUGAUGGGCUAAUGUAUAAGCAGGGACAUGAGAGGUAU